GGGGCGGUGGCCAGGCGGUUGCCCUGACAACGGGGAACCGACCGACUCUUCCCGGUAGGGAGAGGCGAUGGCGGAAUUACUCCUCUAAUGUCAAGGUAUUCUAAUCACAGAAUUACUGGAGCAUCAAGAAGUGCCUGCAUGCUUGGAAGGGCUUCCAGGCAGAUGAACACACCUCAGCACCGGGUGGCAUUUUCCCAGGGUGCAACCCGGAGCGGCUCUGGGUCACACUGACAAGGACAACAGGGUUAACAAUUUCCAGAGACAGCCCGUACAUAGAAGGAAUGUUUACUGAAAAAAAUGAAGAGGGGUCAGGGCAAGGCGAGGAGCGAGAAGCACCCCCAAGGAAACAGAGAAGACCAGUACAACUGUACCUCUUUGCCAGCUGCACCAUCCGUACCAGGUGGCACGUUCCAGAGCCAUAGCCUCUGUUCUAUUCAUCUCCAGUCUCCUGGGGUGGAAGUGUCCAGCGCAGAGACUGCCACACUGCAAGAUGAAGGGGCUGGACACACGGAAGAGAGAGGCGGAACCCUGCACCCCCUCGACCUCAGCCCUACUGAGUCUCCAAUGGGGCCACGCUUCUGAGUGCACCUCCCCCUGUCAUCUGUAAUGUGAGGGGGAACCAGGCUUGAUAUGGCAUUCCCAAUCCAGGGCCUCUGGACCCCUUGAGAUGCAUAAA
This 676-nucleotide non-coding RNA is filed under the name Pan troglodytes (chimpanzee). Lineage: Eukaryota; Metazoa; Chordata; Mammalia; Primates; Hominidae. The record is from RNAcentral.